GGAAUCGCUGGUUAGAGGCCGCGUGAAGGACACCCUGACCAAGCUGGGUCCUGCCCAUGCCGGUAGAUCGUCCAUGGCUUCCCUUGGGGGCUGCCACCCACUGUAAACCUGAGCAAGUUCCUCUCCUGUUCCGAAGCCUGCCCUGGCAAAGCCCCAGUACAUAUUCCAAUCCUGCUCUAGGUCAGUAUUCCCACUGCACCUGUCUACCCCUCGCCCGCCCCCCGGGUCACCACGCAGGACCCCUUGCACGCUCCCCCCACCACCUUUGCUAUGCAACUCCUCCCCUUUAUCUGCUAGGGAGACUCCUAUGCAUUCAUCAAGGUCCAGCUCAAAUCUGGCCACCCUCAGUGGCUUUUCCUGACGCUCUCAGCAGAACCAAACCUCCAGCUUUGUUAUGUGUUGGUGUUGCAGUACACAAAGUUAGUUGUUUUUCACUAAGAGCAGGACAGCCCUCAUCUCCUUGAGAACAAGAACAAAGCCUGACAUCCCAGCAGCUUGCACAGUGCUGGCGGGGCACGCUGUAAGUGCUCAGCUGAUGGUUGUUGAAUUGCUCUGAAUGGAUUGUGAGCAAGAGACCAGCAGGGGUGGAGGCUGACAGGAGAGACAGCGCCUGCCUCUGUACUCUAAAGUGCCGGGGAACUCGUGGUGAUUUGGAUCCAGUUCAGGCACCUGAAG
RNAcentral lists this long non-coding RNA (675 nucleotides) under Homo sapiens (human). RNAcentral's name for it is "non-protein coding lnc-UTS2-5:5". The record is from RNAcentral. Lineage: Eukaryota; Metazoa; Chordata; Mammalia; Primates; Hominidae.